Molecule: long non-coding RNA, 3288 nt
Organism: Lolium rigidum
Lineage: Eukaryota; Viridiplantae; Streptophyta; Magnoliopsida; Poales; Poaceae
Exons: 3
Source: RefSeq, a predicted model, not a curated record
UCCUGACAAAGUUCUUGUGGGAGUACCUGCUCAACAGCCUAGAGAUAUUGCCAUAGCACUAGGCCCUGGAGGUCCCCGUGGAGCACCGUCAAGGACCUGAUAGGGUUGGACAAGACUUGACGGUGGUGAGUAGGGCUGAUAACAUCCUGCUCUGCCUUGAGCAGUGGUUUCCCGGCCUCUCACAGACCACGCUGGACGCAAGCAAGAUACAAUAAAAUAAGAAUAGAAGGAGUUGAUGGGCAUGGUGUGAUCAGCAACACAAAGAGGAAUAUGCAUGCCAAUGCUUCCCUUGGUUAGCAUACUUUCAAUUUCCGGUUCUUUUCACUUUCAUAUUUAUCUGUUGUUUUGGUGGUACACUGCAAUAUGUAUCUAACUUAUUUGAAUUUUUGGUUCUUUUGAACAUGGAUGUAUACCAAAUCACUUGUGUGCUUCAAUCAUUGUUAAAUUUUCUGUUUAUGUUGUACGCUGAUUCACAAAAUAUAGCCAAAUUAAGGUAGACAGUAUGGCUUGAACAAUAUUAUAUGUACUGCCUAUUCUUUGGUAAAGCAAUACUGCCUUUGUGGUGUGCAACUGCACAAGUUAAUUGGGCAAGUGUCAUUUUCUGCCUAAUGGAUGUAAUCUUAGAUGAUUGUUUUAAGCAGAUCAAAAGAGAGAUGCCCACAAUGAAGCUUGCUAGGCAUCCUACUGUUGUCAGGCUACUGUAUCUACUUUAUGGUAGAUGCUCAUAAUGAAGCUUACUAGGCAUCCUACUGUUGUUGUCAGGUUACUGUAUCUACUUUCUGAAAGAUGUUGGUAUUGCUACAAGUAUUGCCUAAUGGACCAAGCAAGAAGUGGACUAUCAGCCUUCUGAGUUUCCUGUCAUCCUUGACAUCGAGAAGAUGCACCCCAAGCCGUCUCUGCACUACAAGUGCUGAUCAAAACGUACGGAGGGAUGUCUGGCUGGUUAUUUCAACAUGCAAUAAGUGGAGAGAUUUCGUCGGCAAUUACAUGAGGCGCCGAACAUCAUGAAUCUUAUUUCAUACUUUCAGUCAUCUAACACGACCAAAAGACUAGAUCGAUUUCCUUUGUAGAAAAGGAGCCUCAUUCAAAGUCAAGAGCUAGCCAUGUGAUUCCAUCUAUCGUGCAAGCAAAGCAGCUGGAUCCAUAAUCAUGUAUGGUACAUGAUACCUGAUGGCUAGCUAAAGAUCACCUGAUGAAAUAAAGAGUUCCAACAUUUAAUAAAAUGUGACUUACAUAUAGAUAAGUGGAGUGUUUUUGCAUUUUAUAUGUCCAUGUAGUUAUUUGCUUCCGUACAGUAUAAUAUUAUUUUCUGUAAAUAUUCACAAGUAGCACUCUUUUUUGUUUACGUCCCUAACCAUGCAUAUAUUAAUUACCCACUCUAACCCCAUGUUAUAAUACAGCGGAGAAGUUCUGAACCUUCUAUUUUGUGAAGAUUAGUUUAGAGCUGAGAUAUAACAUGUAUUUACCAAAGAUAGUUUCUCGGACCAUACCACCUACAACUCCUUGAGUGGGAAGGUUUUUUUUCAUGGCGAGAACAACUUGAUUUGGUUGUUAAUUAGGCCAUCCGACUUAUAUUCCCUGCUUUUGUCCACGAUAUGCAUAAUCUAAUUGCGGCACUCUGUUGUGGUGCUGGUCGACUGUGCCUGCUCGCCGCCGACUGGUCUGGGUGGCACUACCGCCGCGGUAUGAAAGCUCCUCUGGUAUGUCUAUGUUCCUCAACAUUUUUCAUUGAUGCCCGCCUUGAUGUCGCUGGAUACAUGUCAUUUCUUGGUCGUGCCUGAUUGAAAUUAUAUUAAUAUUAAAGCAUGUGAAUUUGUCACGUAUUAUUUGAGUCCCAUGUUUAAUGAAUUUUAUGAAUGUAUAAACACAAUACCCCUGUUACUCCUCACUUUAUUUGUUUCAGCAAUUUCUCCGGUUCAUGCUACUUAUUUUAUGAAAUCUUGUUUUGCUAUUACACCAUGUGCUGUGUCACUAAGUUUCAGAUUAUAGCCUUCCCAUGCAGUAUCAUUAUGAUGUAUCCCGUGGAGUAUCAUUAUGCAGUAUCCCAUGCAGUAUAUGCAAAAUUCAUCGUUUUUGGAUUGUAUAAUGCAUAUUACGGCAUCACUUUUUCCGCCUCAACCAACUUGCUUCACCUGUGAUCGUAGUGUCCUCUGUCCUCUUUCAUUUUCACCAGCGACAAGUGACUUACAACUAAUGAUACUGCAAAUCAUAUAUUAUUGCACCACUAGAAGAUUAAUUCAGUGAUCACAGAACCUACCAUAGCUUCUUUCAGAUACAGUAAUUCAGUUUGGAACACUAGAAGCUUAAUUUAGUUUGGAACAUCAACCAUGAGUCCUUUGUACUCUUAUAGAUUAUAGUGUUGUUUCCUGUGCAUCCUCUUUCAUGCAAACACAUAUUAUCAGGAGUCAUAUUUUGAAUUCUUGGCAAUAAAUUGAGCUACAUGGAGUAGCAGAGUAAAUACCUUGAACCUCAGUUGCUUUUAAGUUUUGCUAUGCCCUCCAAGUUAAGAUUCGGUUAUAGGGAAAGAACACCAUUGCUUCACGGGAUGAAUCUUUUAGUCAAACUAGAUCUAGAGCUAGAGCCUUGACAUAAUCAUUGUGUUACUUGUUGUCUAUGAGAGUUGGUUAUUUGUUUCUUGCAUGAUCUAUGAGAGUUGGUUACUUGUUGUCUACCAUGCUUAGCGUGAACCUUAUAAAACAUGGGAAGUGUUCGAUGGUCCUAAUGAUCAAUUACUCUAGCCUGAACAACCAUUGUGUUAGUCAUUCGUAUUUAACUAUGCUAAAUGGAGUGUUUUGAUGUGGAAUAAUGUACAUUCAUAAUAUGUUGCUGAUUUUGGACAAAGAUAGUUUAGAAAAGAUAUCUUGACUGCUGUUUAUGGGAACCUAAUUCUUCCUAAUGGUUCAGACAAAUAUCCUGACUAAUGGCGAUGGGGAAGUGGUUCAGACAAAUCUUCUUGCUGACUAACAAAAAUUGUUCCACCUGUAUUGGGAUAUUCCAACAACCUAAGCAUCCUUGGAGUACUCGAUCAAAAAAUGCAAGAUUUGUUUGUAUACCCAGUUUGUUCUAGCCAUGGAUGGUGAACAAGCAAUGUGCAUCAUAGGGUAUGCUUGUCAGAGUGCUGACAUAGAAGUUCAGAAAGUGCAAAUAAUAAAGACAUCUCAUGGAAGGUCGUGUGAGUACAUAGAUGUGAAGGAAAAUAUGUUGAGUAUAUUGGGCCUGAUACCAGAAAACCCGUUUUGGGUCCUUGGUAUUGCAGCUUGUUUGCACCACAGGGUUCUUGGUUAUACU